Daphnia pulex (common water flea) is the source of this 580-nucleotide long non-coding RNA. RefSeq lists it as uncharacterized. The record is from RefSeq and is a predicted model, not a curated record. Lineage: Eukaryota; Metazoa; Arthropoda; Branchiopoda; Diplostraca; Daphniidae. The transcript is spliced from 3 exons.
CUCUCAUUCCAUCUUCUAGAGAACGUUGGAUAACUGAUUGGUGGUUUUGUGUGGUUCUAAUCUUGCACGCCAGCCUUUAUGAGAAGUCAUGUCCUUUGAAGAAAAGGGACAAUGACUUUACAGUCAACAAGGUCCUUUGUUUGGUAACCCGUUGGCUGCUACCCUUGAACAUCCCUUUUUACUUCCUUAAACAGGUCCUCUUGAUUUGAGGGUAACUUCUUCGCUACUUAUCAUGGACUUCAUCCAUUGGUGAAAACUGAAAAGAGAAAGCUGUAAUUCAGAUGUCUAAGCCGGAAGCCCCGAAGCCUACUAUGGAUAAUCGCUCUCGUAAUAACUGUUCCUCAACUCUUCGCUCUUUUUCCGGUUUCUCUUAACCAUUUGCCAGGUAGUCAAUUAAGACAGUGAUGUCUCCCCCUGUCUUGAUUGUGUGCGAGUUUCAAAAGCAGUUUAUCACCCAAAUGAGACAAAAGGAGUUGGUUAGGUUUGUUUUAUACGGUUAUAAACUGCUUUAAAAUUUGCACAGAACAACAUUUGUCUUGUACCGGACGCUUUGUUUAUUAAAUUUCAAUCAUUUUUGCCA